UCUCAAAAGUACAAGUCGUGCUGAACACAAGUCGUGGGUCAUCUCUGCCGGCUGGCGGCGGCAGGCGAUUCUGGGCCAUCUCUGACAACCGGCGGCGGCAGGCGAUUCUAUAGCAGUUUUUGUGUUGGUUUUCCUCCUGGAGUUGAUAUGACACGAAGUAAACUACAUGUGGUUGAAUGCAAUGAUGAAUACAUGACUGAGGAAUAUGUUGAACAUGAGAAUGCCAUGUUCAAAGAUGUUGAGUCAUCUCAUGUUCAACCAUCAUCUUGUAAUGUUGAAGAAGGCUUGGAUGAUAGUGAUGAUGAAGAGGACCAGGACGACACUGCUACUAAUGAACAAGAUGAAAAUGGAGAAACAACCAAGCGUGGGAGGACAAGGCUAAAAGAAACAUGGAAUCUUCCAAAAGGGCAGAGGAUUGUGGUCCAGUGCAAUGAACUAAACCAGCCAGUUGGAAAAGAAGCUGCAUGUCUUGGGAAUUUUCUUGGCACGGUUGCUAGGAAUGGAAAAUUGUGUAGUUUGAGCUACAAGGACUGGAGAAAACUAAUAGGAGAGAGAGAAAAAAAGACAAAUGAACAAAGAAACAAAAGGGAUAUACUAGCGCAAGUAAAGAUGAGGUUUCUUUACCCUCCUCGCAUGGAAAAGAUUAUAUUAAAAAAAGUUGGAGAUAGAUGGAGGGAACAUAAGUCAGAUCUGAAAGCACUGUAUUUUGAUGCAAAUAAGAGCAUGGAAGCGAAUAACACCAAUGUUCCAAAGGGUGUGAUUAAGGACCAGUGGAUUACUCUGGUCAGUAAUUGGAUGACCCCGAAGGCACAUGUACUUAUACAGUCGCCAGAUUCGUUAUGUACAUGUUGCUCAGUCAUGGUAUGAAAUUAUGGAAAAUACAUGUGCAUACAUUAUACAAUUGUUUGACAGGGGAUAAGUGAGACGAAUAGGAGAAAUUGUGCGAUGAGGAAGUCCAAACACAUGGCUGGAACUAAGAGUUUUCCACGAGUUCGAGAAGAGAUGAGACUAAAGGAUCCAGAAAAGAAGUACCCACACAGGGCUGUCUUAUACAUGCAUACACAUAAGCACAAAAGCGACAAGAAUAUGAAUGAACAAGUGGUUGAUUUGAAGAAGCGUAUAGCGGAGAAUCCAGCUUUAGUAGAUACUAGUAGAGGAAAGACAGCAUGGAAGGGAGAUGUUUUGAAUGCGGUACUUGGCGCAGACAAGCCUGGACAUAUACAUGGCCUGGGACGGGUUCCGAAUCCAAAUCAAGUCUUUGAUGUGUCAGCUUCACGCCACUUUCAGAAUAUACACCUUAGUUCAUUGGAGGAUAUAUCAAAUGAAGAUCUUUUGGCUGUUAGACUGAAAAUGGAGAAGUUGGAGAAAAAAGUGGAAAACCAAGAUGCUGAGAUUCUGGAACUAAAAGGGAAGAAAAAAACAUUGAAGGACAGGGUUCUUUGGAUCAGAUAUCUGCAUCUCAAGAUGUUCCUUUUAUUGCCAAGACAAAUUCAAAAAUAAAAAGAGUUUAUGGCGACGGUCAUAGUCAACAACUUCGUACUAUUGGGCAGCAGAAUAAUGUGAUGAGCAAGGAAACAUUUCUCAAUGACAUGGAGGUGCAACCAUCAUACAAAUGCCCUGCUAUGGAUGAGAACAAUGAAACUUUGGUCCAUGAUGAAAAUGUGCACCAACAGAGGAAAAACACUAGUGCAGAUAAGGGUUCUUUGGGUCAGAAGUCUACAUCUCAAGAUGCUCUCUAUGUUGGCAAGACAAAUUCAAAACAAAAAAGCAAGGAAAACUUUCUCUAUGACAUGGAGAUGCAACCAUCAAACAAACGUCCUUCUAAGGAUAAGAACAAAGAUACUUCUAUCCAUGAUGAAAAUGUGCAACAAGAGAAGGAAAACUCUAGUUCAAAUAAGGUUAGUGCACUCCAUAUCUUUUAAACUUCUAAAGCUUCUUUCACAAUGCAUCUCUGCUCUCAUGCGUCAAGAUUUUUUUUUGCACAUUUCCAGCGCAUACGCAUGCUAGAAAUGAUGUGUGCCAUAAAUAACAGUUUCAGUAUUGAGUAGAAAUAUCUGAGAUAACAAUCUAAGAGAUAAAGUGCAAUUACUUUCACCAAGAUGAAAAAUCUCUUCACAUUGCUAUUUCAGCCUUUCGUUUGCAUACUCAUACAUGAAAAAACAAUCACUAAACUGUUGUGUAGAUUUGCUAAGAAAUACAUUGCUAGCAGCAGUAGUUCUUAACAUAACAGAGAGGAUAAGUGGCAUUGUAAGAUAUAGUAGCUACAAAAAGGAACUUAACAAUUAUUAUUAUACAUGUAGCCUUCUACAACAAUCUAGUGCACGACAAGACAUGCCAUCAUUUACUAAACAGUUAUGCUUGCACUAUUAAAUUGAACUCCAACUUAACAACACACCUCAAUGGGUUAGAGCAUACUCUGCGUAUACGGUACCAUUCUGAUUCCUCAUGUGUACAUCUAUAUUCAAUUUUUUUGCUUAUUCUGUUUAUUAUGCAUCUUGCCAUUAGCAUGGUGGCCAGAACAUUAGUAAAGUCUCAAGAGAAGGUAAUGCAACAAAGCAUGCCAAUGUAUGACAUACAUCUUCUAAAUCUUAUUCUUCUCUAUUUCAGUUCUGCUUCAAGUAUAUUACAUACUAAUGUUGCACAAAAUAUAUUCUACAGAAACAACAGUGCAGUGCAACAAAUUGCUUGGGUGCCGACUCAAUAGAUGUAUGGGUAUUAAGUUUAUAUUACACAUGAUUAUCUGCAUGUUUCAAAUUGCUUAUACUACAAAUGGUUUUCUCUUUUACGAACAGGUUGGCACUAUAGUAUUUUUGAAGAGCUUGGGAAAUCCAAACAAGAAUGUUGCUCUUGGUACACUCCAAAGCACUAACCCAGAAUAUAAAGUUGAGGGUGUUCAUCUUGGUAAUCAAUUCUGGGCAGUGCGAAUUGAUGCUACAUUAGCAAAAUCAGAUCAGUUGAUACGACCUCUAAAAAAGGUCAACAUUAUUGGUCAUGCAGCAGGAUUAAUUAUCGCAUGGCCAUCAACCUUUAUUGCUAAGAUAAAUUGAUGAUGCAUGGCCCAGAUGUUGAUUGCAAGGUGGAGAAUGGGGAUGCUGUUGGAUAGUCCUAUGUAGUGUUUUACGAUGUCAUUUCCAGUGUCGAUAACUCAAACAUUAUGUUUUAGAAUGGUUGGGGCGUUGAUUGAAAUGUCCAGACUUAGCUACUAUGUUAGUAUCACU
Non-coding RNA from Aegilops tauschii subsp. strangulata, 3218 nucleotides. Lineage: Eukaryota; Viridiplantae; Streptophyta; Magnoliopsida; Poales; Poaceae. The record is from RefSeq and is a predicted model, not a curated record.